UUACACCCUUCUUUACGCGCACCUUACGUUCUCCUUCGGCGGGGCGACCCGCCGCUGGAACUUAACAAACCUUUUGCAUUAGCAUUACCUGUUCCGAUCAAUAUAAUCGUUACAACUUUCAACAAUGGAUCUCUUGGCUCUGGCAUCGAUGAAGAACGCAGCGAAAUGCGAUAAGUAGUGUGAAUUGCAGAAUUCAGUGAAUCAUCGAAUCUUUGAACGCACAUUGCGCCCCUCGGUAUUCCGUGGGGCAUGCCUGUUCGAGCGUCAUCUACACCCUCAAGCACUGCUUGGGGUUGGGCGUCUGUCCCGCCUCCGCGCGGCGACUCGCCCCAAAGGCAUUGGCAGCGGUCUCUUGCACCUCUCGCGCAGCACAUUGCGCUUCUCGAGGGGAGGCAGGCCGCGACCACGAAGCUUUUAUUCGUCUUUGACCUCGGAUCAGGUAGGGAUACCCGC
Molecule: ribosomal RNA, 453 nt
Filed under: Dothideomycetes sp. MX262
Lineage: Eukaryota; Fungi; Ascomycota; Dothideomycetes
Description: eukaryotic LSU rRNA
Rfam family: 5.8S ribosomal RNA (bases 114-267)
Source: RNAcentral